ACCCACCUGCUCCUAACAGCUAGCCUACCCCCUAAGCCCAACAAACAAACAUAAAUUAACCCCAAACACCCAAAAACAACAUAACAAACCAUUUUACCCCCCUAGUAUAGGUGAAAAAAAAGGAUCUAAGAGCAAUAGAAAAAGUACCGCAAGGGAAAGCUGAAAGAGAAAUGAAACAACCCAGUGAAGAGAAAAGAAGCAAAGAUUUCCCCUUGUACCUUUUGCAUCAUGAGUUAGCCAGAAACCUUCAAGCAAAGUGCCCUUUAGUUUGAACCCCCGAAACUGAGCGAGCUACUCCAAGACUGCCUAUUAGGGCUAACCCGUCUCUGUGGCAAAAGAGUGGGAUGAGCUUUGAGUAGAGGUGACAGACCUAACGAGCCCAGUUAUAGCUGGUUGCCUACAAAAUGAAUAGAAGUUCAGCCUUUUGGCUUCUUGACUUAAACCUGGCAAACACCCUAAACUAAUGCUAAGAAACCAAAAAAGUUAUUCAAAGGGGGUACACCCCCUCUGAAAAAAGAUACAACUUUAUCAAGCAGGCUAAAGAUCAGAUUUACCAAAGGCAACAUACCUCAGUAGGCCUAAAAGCAGCCACCCACACAGAAAGCGUUAAAGCUCAAGUACUUUGCCCCUCCCCCAAUCCCGACAAUAACAUCUUAAGCCCCUUAAUUAAAUAGUAGGCCCACUUAUGCAAUCAUAAGAGAGAUACUGCUAACAUGAGUAAUAAGGGGGCCAAGACCCCCUCCAAGGCACCUGUAUACAUCAGAACGAACUCACACUGAAAAUUAACGUCCCCAACCCCAGAGGGUAAUGAGAAAGCCAAAUAAACCCAGAAAACCUCUCAAACCCUAAACGUUAGCCCCACACAGGUGUGCCCUAGGAAAGACUGAAAGAAAAAGAAGGAACUCGGCAAACACUGGCCUCGCCUGUUUACCAAAAACAUCGCCUCUUGCAUCUAAACUUAUAAGAGGUCCUGCCUGCCCUGUGACUUGAUAGUUUAACGGCCGCAGUAUUUUGACUGUGCGAAGGUAGCGUAAUCACUUGUCUUUUAAAUGGAGACCAGUAUGAAUGGCAUAACGAGGGCCAAGCUGUCUCCUUUUUCUAGUCAAUGAAAUUGAUCCUCCCGUGCAGAAGCGGGAAUCUUCCCAUAAGACGAGAAGACCCUAUGGAGCUUCAGACACAAGACAGCCCAUGUUAAAAAACCAAAUUAACAGAAACAACAAAAUGACAUCUGUCCUAAUGUCUUUGGUUGGGGCGACCAUGGAGUAACAAAAAACCCCCAUGUGGAAUGGGGCCUACCCCCUUUAAGCCAGAGCCACAGCUCUCACUAAUAGAACAUCUAACCAACAAGAUCCGGCAAAGCCGAUCAACGGACCUAGUUACCCUAGGGAUAACAGCGCAAUCCCCUUUUAGAGCCCAUAUCGACAAGGGGGUUUACGACCUCGAUGUUGGAUCAGGACAUCCUAAUGGUGCAGCUGCUAUUAAGGGUUCGUUUGUUCAACGAUUAAAGUCCUACGUGAUCUGAGUUCAGACCGGAGAAAUCCAGGUCAGUUUCUAUCUAUGAAAUGCUCUUUCCUAGUACGAAAGGACCGAAAAGAGAAGGCCCAUACUGUAAGUAAGCCUCAUCCUCACCUAAUGAAUACAACUAAAUUAGGUAAAAGGACAUACCUCUCCCCACCCAAGAAAAAGGUAA
This 1690-nucleotide ribosomal RNA is filed under the name Taenioides cirratus (bearded worm goby). Its description in RNAcentral is "16S ribosomal RNA". The stretch from base 105 to 1609 matches the Rfam family "Bacterial large subunit ribosomal RNA". Lineage: Eukaryota; Metazoa; Chordata; Actinopteri; Gobiiformes; Gobiidae. The record is from RNAcentral.